CAACGCCGCGUGGGUGAAGAAGGCUCUCGGGUCGUAAAGCCCUUUUCUGGGGGAAGAAAGUCCUGAACGGUACCCCGAGGAAGAAAGCCACCGGCUAACUACGUGC
Molecule: ribosomal RNA, 106 nt
Filed under: uncultured bacterium
Lineage: Bacteria
Description: partial 16S ribosomal RNA
Rfam family: Bacterial small subunit ribosomal RNA
Source: RNAcentral